GCGGCGGACGGGUGAGUAACACGUGGGUAACCUGCCCAUAAGACUGGGAUAACUCCGGGAAACCGGGGCUAAUACCGGAUAACAUUUUGAACCGCAUGGUUCGAAAUUGAAAGGCGGCUUCGGCUGUCACUUAUGGAUGGACCCGCGUCGCAUUAGCUAGUUGGUGAGGUAACGGCUCACCAAGGCAACGAUGCGUAGCCGACCUGAGAGGGUGAUCGGCCACACUGGGACUGAGACACGGCCCAGACUCCUACGGGAGGCAGCAGUAGGGAAUCUUCCGCAAUGGACGAAAGUCUGACGGAGCAACGCCGCGUGAGUGAUGAAGGCUUUCGGGUCGUAAAACUCUGUUGUUAGGGAA
Molecule: ribosomal RNA, 358 nt
Filed under: Bacillus cereus
Lineage: Bacteria; Bacillati; Bacillota; Bacilli; Caryophanales; Bacillaceae
Description: bacterial SSU rRNA
Rfam family: Bacterial small subunit ribosomal RNA
Source: RNAcentral